This 19-nucleotide unclassified non-coding RNA is filed under the name Chlamydomonas reinhardtii. RNAcentral's name for it is "small RNA Cre_2115". Lineage: Eukaryota; Viridiplantae; Chlorophyta; Chlorophyceae; Chlamydomonadales; Chlamydomonadaceae. The record is from RNAcentral.
UAAAGCAGCUGAGCAGCGG